AAAGCGUGCGUAGGCGGAAAUGUAAGUCAGAAGUGAAAGCCCAGGGCUUAACCCUGGAACUGCUUUUGAGACUGCAAUUCUAGAAUUCGGUAGAGGCUAGUGGAAUGUCCAGUGUAGAGGUGAAAUUCGCAGAUAUUGGACGGAACACCAGUGGCGAAGGCGACUAGCUGGGCCGAUAUUGACGCUGAGGCACGAAAGCGUGGGUAGCAAACAGGAUUAGAUACCCUAGU
RNAcentral lists this ribosomal RNA (230 nucleotides) under uncultured bacterium. RNAcentral describes it as "partial 16S ribosomal RNA". It matches the Rfam family "Bacterial small subunit ribosomal RNA", at positions 562 to 791 of the family's 1533-position model. The record is from RNAcentral.